Molecule: long non-coding RNA, 834 nt
Organism: Nicotiana tabacum (common tobacco)
Lineage: Eukaryota; Viridiplantae; Streptophyta; Magnoliopsida; Solanales; Solanaceae
Source: RefSeq, a predicted model, not a curated record
CCCCACAUGUUACCUUGAAGUUGAUUUUUCGAAUUUGUAUCCUAGUAAUUAGAAGUAAUUUUUAAGAAAAUUGCACCUCAAUGGAGUGUUAGGAAAUUAUAAAGGAGGUAAUUUUAAAACAUAUAUUGGCCUUUUCCCAAUAUUUUAAUAUCGCAUGGCGGAACGUGGAGUAGCAGAAGAUGGUCAAUUCUCAUUGAAGUGUAGAAAGCCAGAAGCCUGGAAAACUUCCAAUCAAAAUUAUUCGGCAACUCAGCACCACAUGUACAGGUAGAAGAACCUUUAUUAUUGAAUAAGAAUUCAAUGUGGAAUAGCAGAAGGAAUCUGUCAGAUUGGUUAAAAUUUAAGGACCAUACAAAUGUGUUUGUUAAUCAGAAUGUAACUGCUAGAGAUCAUUAGUAUCUGGCGAGGCCCCAAACUAUUGCAAGAUUGCAUAAGUUGCCUUUAGAAAGAACAAAAAGAACCGAACCAUAUUGGGUCUAUUCUUUUUAGUGAUUACUUUAGAAAAAAAAAUCACCAGAAAUGUGGUGCCAAGUCAAAGCUAUUGAAAGUUAAGUGACAGGUGAAUGAUGACAUGGACAUACCGAAAGGAGACAGGCUUGUGCUAAGGGGCUUAAAAUUUCAUGGAUAUCAUGGACAUGGAGUGAAGAAACAAGAAAGAGAGUUAGGUCAGAAGUUCCUGGUUGGAUGGAUCUUCGAGUUGCUGGUAAAUCUGACUGCUUGUCAGAUACUCUAAGUUACACAGAUAUAUACGAGUGAGUUAUCAUUUCGAGUUUGUUCAUUUGGAAGAACAUAAAGAACUUGACUUCAUAGCUUAAUAGAUGAAAUUUUGUCAAA